RNAcentral lists this long non-coding RNA (303 nucleotides) under Physcomitrium patens. Its description in RNAcentral is "long non-coding RNA (PPAT_LNC008780)". The record is from RNAcentral. Lineage: Eukaryota; Viridiplantae; Streptophyta; Bryopsida; Funariales; Funariaceae.
AUAACCUUAGCUUGUAAUCUCCAAAUUUCCUCUUUGAAGUCGCCGAAAUCCUUCUUAAGGUCGUGGGCAGCCUCCUCAAAGUCCAUUGGGUAUGAUAUUCGACUAUUAGGGAUGAAGUUCUCCAUUCCUUGCCUUCAUCCGACCAUGCCUUACUUUCAUCCCUCCAGAUUAGCCUCCUACUAGUUUAGAUUUUCAUCCUUAUAUAUAUAUAUAUAUAUAUAUAUUUUAAUGUCAAAAUCAAAACAAGUAAAGAAACAAAGUAAAGUUUCUUAUAUCAACUCCUUUUAAUUUAAUUUACUAGCC